UGGGGAAUAUUGCACAAUGGGCGCAAGCCUGAUGCAGCCAUGCCGCGUGUGUGAAGAAGGCCUUCGGGUUGUAAAGCACUUUCAGCGAGGAGGAAGGGUAGUGUGUUAAUAGCACAUUGCAUUGACGUUACUCGCAGAAGAAGCACCGGCUAACUCCGUGCCAGCAGCCGCGGUAAUACGGAGGGUGCAAGCGUUAAUCGGAAUUACUGGGCGUAAAGCGCACGCAGGCGGUUUGUUAAGUCAGAUGUGAAAUCCCCGCGCUUAACGUGGGAACUGCAUUUGAAACUGGCAAGCUAGAGUCUUGUAGAGGGGGGUAGAAUUCCAGGUGUAGCGGUGAAAUGCGUAGAGAUCUGGAGGAAUACCGGUGGCGAAGGCGGCCCCCUGGACAAAGACUGACGCUCAGGUGCGAAAGCGUGGGGAGCAAAACAGGAUUAGAUACCCUGGUAGUCCACGCUGUAAACGAUGUCGACUUGGAGGUUGUGCCCUUGAGGCGUGGCUUCCGGAGCUAACGCGUUAAGUCGACC
RNAcentral lists this ribosomal RNA (524 nucleotides) under uncultured bacterium. RNAcentral describes it as "partial 16S ribosomal RNA". It matches the Rfam family "Bacterial small subunit ribosomal RNA", at positions 355 to 870 of the family's 1533-position model. The record is from RNAcentral.